GAUCUGGCUCAGGAUGAACGCUAGCUACAGGCUUAACACAUGCAAGUCGAGGGGCAGCAUGAACUUAGCUUGCUAAGUUUGAUGGCGACCGGCGCACGGGUGAGUAACACGUAUCCAACCUGCCGAUGACUCGGGGAUAGCCUUUCGAAAGAAAGAUUAAUACCCGAUGGCAUAGUUCUUCCGCAUGGUAGAACUAUUAAAGAAUUUCGGUCAUCGAUGGGGAUGCGUUCCAUUAGGUUUGG
This 242-nucleotide ribosomal RNA is filed under the name uncultured bacterium. Its description in RNAcentral is "partial 16S ribosomal RNA". It matches the Rfam family "Bacterial small subunit ribosomal RNA", at positions 15 to 252 of the family's 1533-position model. The record is from RNAcentral.